Molecule: ribosomal RNA, 451 nt
Filed under: uncultured bacterium
Lineage: Bacteria
Description: bacterial SSU rRNA
Rfam family: Bacterial small subunit ribosomal RNA
Source: RNAcentral
GUGGGGAAUAUUGGACAAUGGGCGAAAGCCUGAUCCAGCCAUGCCGCGUGUGUGAAGAAGGUCUUCGGAUUGUAAAGCACUUUAAGUUGGGAGGAAGGGCAGUAAGUUAAUACCUUGCUGUUUUGACGUUACCGACAGAAUAAGCACCGGCUAACUUCGUGCCAGCAGCCGCGGUAAUACGAAGGGUGCAAGCGUUAAUCGGAAUUACUGGGCGUAAAGCGCGCGUAGGUGGUUUUGUAAGUUGGAGGUGAAAUCCCCGGGCUCAACCUGGGAACUGCCUCCAAAACUGCAUGACUAGAGUACGGUAGAGGGUAGUGGAAUUUCCUGUGUAGCGGUGAAAUGCGUAGAUAUAGGAAGGAACACCAGUGGCGAAGGCGACUACCUGGACUGAUACUGACACUGAGGUGCGAAAGCGUGGUGAGCAAACAGGAUUAGAAACCCCGGGUAGUCC